Molecule: small nuclear RNA, 107 nt
Organism: Schistocerca serialis cubense
Lineage: Eukaryota; Metazoa; Arthropoda; Insecta; Orthoptera; Acrididae
Source: RefSeq, a predicted model, not a curated record
GUACUCGCUUCGGCGGUACAUAUACUAAAAUUGCACCGAUACAGAGAAGAUUAGUACGGCUCCUGCGCAAGGAUGGCACACAAAAUCAUGAAGUGUUCCACAGCCGU